RNAcentral lists this long non-coding RNA (2861 nucleotides) under Acyrthosiphon pisum (pea aphid). RNAcentral's name for it is "uncharacterized LOC115034341". The record is from RNAcentral. Lineage: Eukaryota; Metazoa; Arthropoda; Insecta; Hemiptera; Aphididae.
GUUUUAAAUGUUUGUAAAAUCAUUUUUAAUGACAUUUACUGUAGGAAUUUUAUUCUUAAUAUAAAAUAUAAACACUUAAAUAACUGAUAACUUGCUUGCUUUAAUACAUUUUGAAUUAGGUACGCAUCAACAUUUUUAAAAAUAUUAUCUACUAAAUAAUGUACAGUAAAAAAGUGCGGGGUGGGUCGUCACAGGAGACUUCUUGCAACCAGUACAAAAAAUCCCAACAGUUCGAAAAUAUUAUGUGCUUAGAGUAGGUACUUAUAGGUAUAUUUAAAAAUUCUAAAUAUCAGAAUUUGAAUGAAUUCAUUAUAUCGAAUACCUAACGAAAAAUGGGGGGUUCAGUUUACCCGGUAAAUCACCCUGUAUACAUACAAUAAUUAUAUAUGCAUUUUAUGUACCUAUAUAAAAUAUAUGUAUAAUCACAUUACUUGUUUUAUGGCGCUGCCGUCCUUUGCGGGCGCACGCAACGGCGACGUCGCACCGCCGUCGACGAUUCAUCAAAAUAAUAUUAUAAUGCUGUGAAUAUUUUCGACACGGACCUUAUCUCGUUCCUCCGCGGUGGGGCAGAGUACCUGUAAUAUAUUUCCUAAUCCGCGCGUCACUCCGCGACUCUUCUGCCCCCCUCCAAGCAUUCUGUAAUAACAUAAUAUUAUAAUAUUAUUUAGUUUUAUUACGUACGUUAUAAUAUAUGACAUGUUAUUACAUUAUACACAGGUGCAAUACAAUAACGUACGAACUCGCGGCGGUCGUGUGUAUACUGUAUAGUGUGUACUUACAUAAUAAUAUAAUAGGUAGGUAUGUAUAUUGUAUAUGGUAUUCGGUGUCUAUCAUAGACCUAUAAACUGCAGUUAACAGCGCUUAGAGAGCAGAGAAAUAAGGCGACGGCCGACGACAUGCUUUGAGCGAGAAAAGAAACAAAACAGUAAAAACAGUGUGUCUACUGCCAAAUAUAAAAUUGUGUUACGAUAAAAUCUUGACAAUCGACGGAGUUGGGCGGUAGUUCCCGCGGCCAAAGUAGGCUGCACUUUACUUAUCAUGGUUCCAUAUGUCUUCUGCGCUUUCACGAAACACCAACCAGGUUGGGCACAGUUAAAAACAAAAACAGUGUAAAUACGUAAUUUUAUUACCGUAUUAUAUCAUGAUUCGUGUAUAUUUCUUAUGAGUUUUUAUUGGACUAAACGAAUUAACUUGUAUUAAUAGUAUUACUUAUAACUAGUAUUGUUUUUAAUUUGAACUUUUUCGUUAUAUUGACAUUUGACUUAUUAUAAAUUAUAAUAAUACAUCACUGCAACGCAGUUUACCGCAACCGGACCAACACCCAUCCCCGCCAACCGAGCAUGCUCCGUCAACGAGUAUAAGGACUAUGGAUUACUAAGAAUAUUACUUAUUACCGAUUUAAAGAAAAAUUGAGAGAAAAAAGGUACAGUAGGUAUUUCCUCCAUGAUUCACUACUUGAUGUUCUUUCUCUCUCAGUAUAUUUUACUCGCCGAGGGCCGCGGGGCAGAGUUGAAUGCGCUAUCCAUAGUUUAUAGGUCUAUGGCGUCUACGCGUAUAUAUAUUAUUAUUAUUGUUAUUUCGUAUUAUUGUAUCUUGCACCGCGUAUAUACGAAACGUCGCGUUCGGUAAAUAAAUCAACAGCGAUAUCGACCUACCGGAAAAGUGCCGAAGUGCGAAGAUAAAUCGCCGACAGUCGGAAGGUGGAUGAUGAUCUAAGAGUUGCUGGUCGUGGCUCGAGAAAAACCAUUUACAAACCGCCGAGACGCUCAUUUGUACGUGUUGUCCACGCGUAAGUGUUCAUAGCAAUGAGUGAAUAAAUGAUUGGGUACUAUCGCGACCGCGGUCAGCGCUCUGCUGUUGUUGUAUCGUGAAGUUAACAGGUAUUUUAUUUUACUAUUAAUGUUAUUAGAGGCGAAAGAUGUUUUAUUCCUCCGCUAGCUUAUUUAUAAUAAUAUUAUAAUGAUAUUAUAUCGUACAAGUGAUCGAGUUAUAUGCACGCGUAUAAAUAUUAAAAUAGUAAUACGAUUGUGUGUGGAGCGUAUACACACACGGACGAGGAUUAGGUAAGGAAAAACCACUCGACGAAAAAGACGACUAUUAUAUGCCACCGACUCCAUGAUAAUAAUAUAUAAUAUAGUACUAUAAUACGUAUGUACUAUUAUAUUAUACGACCGAUGACUUCGAUGUCGGCGACGGACGUGCAUUAUACGUAGGUGGACGGGAGAGGGGGUGCGUAUGCGGUCGUGUGAGGGUAUUGAGAAAAUCCGUUGACGAGGAAAAUUAAAGUCCUCGCCCGCUCCGAAGCGUUUUUUUUUUAAACAUCUGACCGCUGACGGUGACACGUACUCCACGGACAACAACAAAAAAAAAAUUGGAAAAAUCGGGGUAAAAAAAAAGGAAACAAAGGACACGUCCGGUAAAGAGCAAACGAUCGACGACGAGUAUAUUAUUAUUAUUAUUAUUAUUAUUAUUAUUAUAGUGCCCUUCAACGCGCGUAUUGGAUUUUCGUCCGUAUAUAUACUUCGAGAGUCGUCCAUUCGAUUUUUAUAUAUAUUUUAUUUUCUUAGUUUCUCCUGCUCUAUCAUUCGUCCGUUUUAUUGUUAUUCUUAAAUAUAUCGCGUGUAUUGUUGGCUCGCGAGAGAUUCCAUUUUUGAGCCGCCGAUUCGGCUGAAUUAUAUUCAUCAUCUAAAUAGAAAGAAAUUAUAUUACAACGCGAUCGUGUCCGAUAACUUUAUAAUAUUAUGUCGAUUAUACAAUUUUCUCGGUCGUUGAAAUUUAGAUGAUGUUUUUAGUCCGUCGAUAAUAAUAUAAUAAAUUAUAAUAACAAAAUUAUUUAGACUAAUAAUAGGCAAUACUAAGAA